AUAAUAACGUAAGUGGGAAGAGUAACUACGACUUCAUAUUUCCAGAGAGUAUACAUGAGCUGAAAGUAUACAUAUGAGUGUAGUGAAGGUAGCCCGAUUGAACUUUAGUUGAAAGCGAAUGUCGCCACUAGGCUAAAGCGUGAAUUGAGCGUUAAUCAUGCAAACAAGUGCGUAAGUUGUUGCGACGAUGCGUCGUGCGCUUACGAAGUUAGGUGGUACCACGGAAGAUCCGUCCUAUUA
This 240-nucleotide non-coding RNA is filed under the name Staphylococcus pettenkoferi. Its description in RNAcentral is "T-box sequence". It matches the Rfam family "T-box leader". Rfam says of the family: Uncharged tRNA acts as the effector for transcription antitermination of genes in the T-box leader family. T-boxes are found upstream of many aminoacyl-tRNA synthetase genes and some amino acid biosynthetic genes usually in Gram-positive bacteria. The record is from RNAcentral. Lineage: Bacteria; Bacillati; Bacillota; Bacilli; Caryophanales; Staphylococcaceae.